AGCACAGUCCGCCAAAAAUUAAAGGGAGGGGUCAGGACUAUUGAUCUCAUUUGGUUCCUGGGACAUUCAAACAACCAGAGCGCCGUUGAGAGAACCGAAUUUUUCCAGGUUGUUUCCCAACUCCUUGACAAGUGUCAUGUUCAAACGAUCAAUUGCAGGGGUCCAAAACAGGUUUCUCGCCUCCCCAAAACCCCCGUCACCAUUGACACUGCCGCACGACUCCGGCCCCGACCAGUAACCCAGAGGAUGGAAGCUAGGAUGCUUGAUGUUGAAUGGAGUGCUCCGUUGAGCGCGCCACUUAUAAUAAUAAACCGAUCCUUUCUCCACAAGAGAUGUUUCCUUCUUUGAGCUAGUGGAAAAGUUCUCAGUAUGAUGCUGGAGGAGGCGUGUACUGUGUAGUUAACUAAUCCGUUGAACAAGUCAGCUAAGCAUGGUAAAGUCAGCACCAACCUGCCAGGAUAUUGCCUGGCAGAUAGUAGGUUUCAAUUAUCAAUCUCUUUACGUCCGCGUAUAGG
This 515-nucleotide small RNA is filed under the name Histoplasma capsulatum. Its description in RNAcentral is "hypothetical RNA". The record is from RNAcentral. RNAcentral also lists the same sequence under 1 other name. Lineage: Eukaryota; Fungi; Ascomycota; Eurotiomycetes; Onygenales; Ajellomycetaceae.